AAAGGCAGCGGCGUCGGUUUCUUUUUUUUUUCGUUUUCCGAAAGGAAACACUCGUCGCAAAGUAUGGGUGCAAGCUGUGCGCCAAGAAAAAUUGCAGCCCUCAGACAGCAGCAGGAUUUGCGGCCUACAUUUCAUCACUGGUGCUCCGUCUCCAUUCCCGAACCACACGGACUGGGCACCUAGCAUUAUUGCCUUCAAGAGGGCUAACCGCGAAGCUGAAGAAAAGAAAUGCGACAGAUUCGAACAGACGUUCAAGCGAAAACGUUGGUAGGCUUCUAACCACGGCUCAGUGGUCCACACAGGAUGCGUUGUAGCAGCCUGUGCUGCUUAUCCCAGCCGAGACAACGCGAACGCCGAAGCAG
RNAcentral lists this long non-coding RNA (362 nucleotides) under Dermacentor andersoni. RNAcentral describes it as "uncharacterized LOC126539935". Lineage: Eukaryota; Metazoa; Arthropoda; Arachnida; Ixodida; Ixodidae. The record is from RNAcentral.